Molecule: ribosomal RNA, 369 nt
Filed under: uncultured organism
Description: bacterial SSU rRNA
Rfam family: Bacterial small subunit ribosomal RNA
Source: RNAcentral
CGUAGGGGGCAAGCGUUAUCCGGAAUUAUUGGGCGUAAGGAGUGCGUAGGUGGUUUUGUAAGCGCGGGGUGAAAGGCUAUGGCUCAACCAUAGUAAGCCUUGCGAACUGCAAGACUUGAGUGCAGGAGAGGAAAGUGGAAUUCCUAGUGUAGCGGUGAAAUGCGUAGAUAUUAGGAGGAACACCAGUGGCGAAGGCGACUUUCUGGACUGUAACUGACACUGAGGCACGAAAGCGUGGGGAACAAACAGGAUUAGAUACCCUGGUAGUCCACGCCGUAAACGAUGAGCACUAGGUGUCGGGGUCGCAAGGCUUCGGUGCCGCAGUUAACGCAUUAAGUGCUCCGCCUGGGGAGUACGCACGCAAGUGUG